This 1022-nucleotide long non-coding RNA is filed under the name Populus trichocarpa (black cottonwood). Its description in RNAcentral is "long non-coding RNA (PTRI_LNC003900)". Lineage: Eukaryota; Viridiplantae; Streptophyta; Magnoliopsida; Malpighiales; Salicaceae. The record is from RNAcentral.
UAAAUGAUAGACACUCUUAAACAUUAAGUUUCUUUAGUGCAAACUAACUCCAUAAAGUGCAAACUACCUAUCUGUGAGUGCUGUGUGUUGGGAUUAAUGCUUGAUUAGUCCUUGAUAUGUCUCAGUGCAAGCUUAAUCCUUAUAUUUUAGCUGCUUUAUUGCCUAACAUCCCCUGCCUUGGAUACUCCAAAUCAGAGCUAUUUCUUCCUUUGUUUUCAAAUCUCAGCUGAAAGCAAAUGCAAAGCUUUUAAACUCAAUUUAAACAAUCACUGAUUAAUAUAAUUCAUGUUUUAUUCGUAACCACAUUGCAUUUACGGUCAUAAUUCCCUGGGAUCUCUGAAGUAGACGAAGUGCAACUGAGUUGAUGCUAUUGUGAAUUGUCUUAUUUUUUGUGGGGUUUGAUAUUCAUAUGUCAAAAUUUUGUAUUCUUGUAAUUUCAUGUAGAACAUUAGGAAGAUGAGAUGCAUUCUCUUCUUCACUAAAUAAAGACUUCAUAACUUUUUUAAAACAAAGGUUAAAAGAGCAAUAACAGAGAUCAAGAUUUGGUAAUAUAGUUCUAUCCACAAAAAAUAAGAAGGCUUCUUUAGUGAAGCUAACUCUGUUGUGAAACUUAAUCGAUCAGGACAGAUGUAAGCCAUAACUAGUUUGGACUUUGGAAUUCAAACAUUGCAUCUUAACCCAUAUCGUAUCAAACCUUAAGCUGUGAUUUAAAUCCACCUUUUUUGCCCUUCUGGUUGGAAUAUUUUGAAUUAUCGAGAAAGAAGUCUUUGACUCUUUAGCAUAAAUGUGCUCAUAAGAAAUUGAAUACCAUUUUUUCUUUGCAAGAAUGCCCUAAGAUGCUCCAUAAUAAAAUAUGAUUUUUGCAAAUGUUAACCCUUACGUUGUUGAGUUUCUUGCAAUUCUCAUUCGAUUUAGCGAACUAUGCUGGCAUUCCUUACAAGAUGCUCAUCAAUGUAUGUGUCUUCUUGUGCUUGUAGGGAACAGGGGAUCUAAUGACUGCGCUCCUGCUUGGAUGGAGUAAU